This 72-nucleotide transfer RNA is filed under the name Saprospiraceae bacterium. RNAcentral's name for it is "tRNA-Arg". It matches the Rfam family "tRNA". From Rfam's summary of the family: Transfer RNA (tRNA) molecules are approximately 80 nucleotides in length. Their secondary structure includes four short double-helical elements and three loops (D, anti-codon, and T loops). RNAcentral also lists the same sequence under 1 other name. The record is from RNAcentral. Lineage: Bacteria; Pseudomonadati; Bacteroidota; Saprospiria; Saprospirales; Saprospiraceae.
GGCCAGGUCGUUCAAUUGGAAGGACAGGAGGCUACGGACCUCCAGAUUGGGGUUCGACUCCCUGCCUGGUUA